AUUAAAAAAUAACAGAUACCCUAGUGAAGAAGGGCUGUCACCCUGCUAGGACAUUCUUAGAGCAGUCUGUAUUAAGAGAGAUAUCUUUUAGUAUAGGACUUAAGUGACAUUAUAAUUAAUAAGUUUUUACUUAUUAAAAAGAUGAAGCUUGAAGGUUACGGGAAGUACCAAUAGUUAGGAAUGGUGUAUCUAUACAGUUUAAUAUAAUGCCGCAACAGUGUGGGGAGAGUAAUAGACGCUCGUGAAGAGAAGAACCUUAAGUCUUAGUCCUGUGGUGGGAUUGAGCAGCUUAAGGAAUACCAAACAAUCUCCUUCGCUAUGAUGUUGUAGAAAUACAACUAUAACACACAGCAGCGGACAAGUAGCCCAUAGGCGUGAAAUGAGGAAACAGUAUGUUUAAACUGAUUAAAAUUCUGAAUGAUGGGUGAAAGUUGCAGGUAGAAAAUCCUGUCAUAGCAUUGGGGAGAAAUCCUGUGGUAAGAAGUUUAGAGGUCGCUCCUUUAAGCUCAGACUUAUCAUCUAUGUAGCAUAAUAAUAGCAGACUGUAUAGGAUAAGACGAAGGUCUAUCUGUUUUUUUGUGUUA
Molecule: small RNA, 584 nt
Filed under: human gut metagenome
Description: ROOL RNA
Rfam family: ROOL RNA
About the family: Firmicutes, Fusobacteria (1 example), Tenericutes (1 example). Environment (Cow rumen (57))
Source: RNAcentral